GAUGAACGCUGGCGGCGUGCCUAAUACAUGCAAGUCGAGCGAACGGACGAGAAGCUUGCUUCUCUGAUGUUAGCGGCGGACGGGUGAGUAACACGUGGAUAACCUACCUAUAAGACUGGGAUAACUUCGGGAAACCGGAGCUAAUACCGGAUAAUAUUUUGAACCGCAUGGUUCAAAAGUGAAAGACGGUCUUGCUGUCACUUAUAGAUGGAUCCGCGCUGCAUUAGCUAGUUGGUAAGGUAACGGCUUACCAAGGCAACGAUGCAUAGCCGACCUGAGAGGGUGGUCGGCCACACUGGAACUGAGACACGGUCCAGGCUCCUACGGGAGGCAGCAGUAGGGAAUCUUCCGCAAUGGGCGAAAGCCUGACGGAGCAACGCCGCGUGAGUGAUGAAGGUCUUCGGAUCGUAAAACUCUGUUAUUAGGGAAGAACAUAUGUGUAAGUAACUGUGCACAUCUUGACGGUACCUAAUCAGAAAGCCACGGCUAACUACGUG
RNAcentral lists this ribosomal RNA (497 nucleotides) under uncultured bacterium. Its description in RNAcentral is "partial 16S ribosomal RNA". It matches the Rfam family "Bacterial small subunit ribosomal RNA", at positions 28 to 507 of the family's 1533-position model. The record is from RNAcentral.